AUGUUGGAGAAUUGUCAAAUGUGGUAUGAAAUUAAAUAAUCAUCUUGUUAACAAAAUAUGCCAUAUAACAAUAGUUUCAAACUGCAGCCUGGCUAUUCACAAUGGACCUUUACAUAGAAAGCAACUUUGAUCCAUAAACAGGAUAAAACCUGACAAAACAGACAUCAUGUGCUUUCUUAAACAAC
Molecule: long non-coding RNA, 185 nt
Organism: Etheostoma cragini (Arkansas darter)
Lineage: Eukaryota; Metazoa; Chordata; Actinopteri; Perciformes; Percidae
Exons: 3
Source: RefSeq, a predicted model, not a curated record